AGAGUUUGAUCCUGGCUNNNNNNNANCGCUGGCGGCGUGCUUAACACAUGCAAGUCACGGGGGCCCGCAAGGGUAACCGGCGAACGGGUGCGUAACACGUGAGCAAGCUUCCGAUUUGUGGGGGAUAGCCGGCCCAACGGCCGGGUAAUACCGCAUACGUUCACUGGACGGCAUCGUCUGGUGAGGAAACCUCCGGGGCAAAUCGAGGCGCUCGCGGCCUAUCAGCUAGUUGGCGGGGUAACGGCCCACCAAGGCGACGACGGGUAGCUGGUCUGAGAGGAUGGCCAGCCACAUUGGGACUGCGACACGGCCCAGACUCCUACGGGAGGCAACAGUGGGGAAUAUUGCGCAAUGGACGAAAGUCUGACGCAGCGACGCCGCGUGUGGGAUGAAGCCUUUCGGGGUGUAAACCACUGUUGCCCGGGACGAAACUCCUUUUUCGAGAGGAUUGACGGUACCGGGUGAGGAAGCACCGGCUAACUCUGUGCCAGCAGCCGCGGUAAUUC
Molecule: ribosomal RNA, 506 nt
Filed under: uncultured soil bacterium
Lineage: Bacteria
Description: bacterial SSU rRNA
Rfam family: Bacterial small subunit ribosomal RNA
Source: RNAcentral